This 958-nucleotide ribosomal RNA is filed under the name uncultured prokaryote. RNAcentral describes it as "bacterial SSU rRNA". It matches the Rfam family "Bacterial small subunit ribosomal RNA", at positions 50 to 988 of the family's 1533-position model. The record is from RNAcentral.
AAUACAUGCAAGUCGAGCGGACAGAUGGGAGCUUGCUCCCUGAUGUUAGCGGCGGACGGGUGAGUAACACGUGGGUAACCUGCCUGUAAGACUGGGAUAACUCCGGGAAACCGGGGCUAAUACCGGAUGCUUGAUUGAACCGCAUGGUUCAAUUAUAAAAGGUGGCUUUUAGCUACCACUUACAGAUGGACCCGCGGCGCAUUAGCUAGUUGGUGAGGUAACGGCUCACCAAGGCAACGAUGCGUAGCCGACCUGAGAGGGUGAUCGGCCACACUGGGACUGAGACACGGCCCAAACUCCUACGGGAGGCAGCAGUAGGGAAUCUUCCGCAAUGGACGAAAGUCUGACGGAGCAACGCCGCGUGAGUGAUGAAGGUUUUCGGAUCGUAAAACUCUGUUGUUAGGGAAGAACAAGUACCGUUCGAAUAGGGCGGUACCUUGACGGUACCUAACCAGAAAGCCACGGCUAACUACGUGCCAGCAGCCGCGGUAAUACGUAGGUGGCAAGCGUUGUCCGGAAUUAUUGGGCGUAAAGCGCGCGCAGGCGGUUUCUUAAGUCUGAUGUGAAAGCCCCCGGCUCAACCGGGGAGGGUCAUUGGAAACUGGGGAACUUGAGUGCAGAAGAGGAGAGUGGAAUUCCACGUGUAGCGGUGAAAUGCGUAGAGAUGUGGAGGAACACCAGUGGCGAAGGCGACUCUCUGGUCUGUAACUGACGCUGAGGCGCGAAAGCGUGGGGAGCGAACAGGAUUAGAUACCCUGGUAGUCCACGCCGUAAACGAUGAGUGCUAAGUGUUAGAGGGUUUCCGCCCUUUAGUGCUGCAGCAAACGCAUUAAGCACUCCGCCUGGGGGAGUACGGUCGCAAGACUGAAACUCAAAGGAAUUGACGGGGGCCCGCACAAGCGGUGAGCAUGUGGUUUAAUUCGAAGCAACGCGAAGAACCUUACCAGGUCUUGACAUC